AGAUCAGGGCAUGUACAUUUUGUAGACUUAUUCCCAGAUGAGCCAUAACAAAUAGCUAAAGCAUACUUUCCACUGGUGGCAAAUUGCUCCUGGGAAACAUACUGAUUCACUUGUGGAUUAAAAACACAGCAGUUAGAAUCACUUUCAUAUAGGCUAACUUCACAGCUCUUGAUAGUGAAGAGAAAUUUUUUUUUUUUUUUUUAGCUUUCAAAAGAUUCAUAGAUGUCUCCCUAUUUCUUUGAACUGUCAUUAUGUUUAAAUGGGGUGAGAAAACUACCAAAAAUGUUUAAAUCAUGCGUUCCUGAUGCAAACAUCAGUAGUCUCUUGUCUUUUACUAACUACAUUUAAACAUACCAGAGAUGAAAUUGUUGGACUAUGAGAUUACAAUCCCUUUUGACGGGUUAAUAAUCUUGCUUAUUAAUAGAAACAAUUCAGACCAGAAUUCUACCUUGCAAUUUUGCUAUGGGAAGUGUAGGCAAGAUUUCACCAAGAACAAAACAAUCUCGCAAACCAAUUUGAAUGAUCUGAGAGCUGUGUUUGCUUAAUGUACAGUUUAGUAGUGGUAUCACGCUUUGGCUCUGUUGUCCUUUCUUUGAACUCAAGGGUAGGCUUGGGGGAUGUUAUUGGAACCACAUGCUUUCAUUCAGGUUGACGGUUUUCUUCAGAAGACAUAGUAGGGUCUUCAUGAUUUGUCUCAGGUUGCAAGUCAGCUGUCCAAUGAUGAAGAAUCAUCUAUAUGUUUCAGUGGGUUUAGGCUUAAAAAACACUCUCAAGAUAUUAAUUUGCCAUUGUUUUAGGUAUAAAAGUGAAAUAUUCCAAAACAUGAUAUGUUAAAGUUUACAGUGGAAAUAUUUUCAAAUACAACUAGGUGGUUGAAUUUUCAUAGUAUAAUGCUUUUUCUCAUUUUUAUCAUGGAAAAGCACAAAUAUUUUAAAUAUUUUUGUGUUUGUUUUUACCAAGGAAAAACCACUCGAAAAGCAAGAGGGCAGUUUGAUGUCUAAAAUGGAAAGGGUAAAUUGCUGCCCUAUCACAUAAGUGGCUUUUGUAGGUUGGAAGUGAAAAAUAUUUUUAAUUUAAAAGUGAAUUUGGAGAUCUGAGCAUGCUCACUGUACAUCACUUUAAAAUUAUUAAAGUAGUUUGAUUUAAUAGAGUGAAUCUUCUCAGGCUGAGGAGUACUUCACUUUGCACUGCAAAAGCUCAGAUGUUAGAACCCGAUCACUUCCCAGAUGAAGAGCUUAUAAAAAAAUGUGAAGUACUCUAAUAAUUUUAAAUUACUCUAUAUUGCACAUUUUCAGGUCUCUGAUCACCUCCAAAUUCAAGUGCUUAUAAAACUGCUCCCAUAAUUUUAAAUUGCUAUGUGCACAGUGAUUUAAAAUUGUGAGAGUGCUUCAAAGUUUUUUAAUAAGUGCUUUAAUUUAGAAGUGAGUUGAGCAAUACUCCAGUAUAACUUCAAGAAUUUAUUAAACCGAUAUAAAAAUUUAUCCUCUGGAAAGAAAAUUACAUUACGUAUAAAAGGGUGAGGCUCCAAAUGAAUAUAUAUGAGGAUCAAAGUACCAAAUGCUCAGGAACAAUCAGUAAAUGAAAUGAGAUCAUGGGGUCGUAGGUGGGGGGUUUGUUUGGUUAAUUUUGUUCACUGCUUGCCUGAGGCUAGCGUUCUUGAAAAUCUAACAGAAAGGGAAGGAAGGAAGAGAGAGCCUGGUGGGAGAGUUUAUCCCUAAGACAUCUUUCCCCACUUGUCAGUAAGGUAGCUCCUGGACCCGCCUGACUCCUGAAUUUCUCAUUUUUCAGAGGUAAACAUGGCACAUUUUAAAUUGUACUCAGGGAUGAGGGAAAUGGUUUUCAUUAAAAACAGAAUUCCUUUCAUAAACCAAUAGAUCUAGUCACCCUAGGAAAAGCAUGUAGAUUUGGUUUUCUGACCACGAUACCCCAUUAUUAUUACAAUGCAUGAGGUGAUUUGACCUUAAACGGGCUACCAUCCUACAUGGAUCUAGUCUUACACUACCUGCUUGGGGAAUAAAAUAUCUUGAGUUGUGCUAGCUGCGACCAGCUUUUCCAUGGCUUCUCCGGCUUAUUUUCCAUGCUGUUCAGGUAAACAUGGUGGUCCCCUUUGACUGAGUCACCGAUUUUGUCUGACUGCACCAGCUGAUGUGUCUGAAAUAUCAAACCGUUUGACAGGGACAUGAGGCCUCUCAUGUACUGAACUAGAAUUUUAUAAUGUCUUUGAUUAAGAACAUGAACUUGAAACACAGGAACCAUAAGGAUGUUCUUUUGUCCAGUCGUGAAAAGAUGGGGAUUUAUAAUGUAUGGUGAUUCUUUGCACAUUUUGUGAAACCCCCAUAGCCUUCCUUACAGGGAAAAAGGCAUUUACAGUUACUAAGUUGAAGAUGAAAUAAAAGUCAAUUGACUGCAUGUUUCAGCAGUUCCUACCUCAGAAUGGAAAAUUACAUACAUCAUUGGGUUCUAAAGUGUAAUAAAUGGGUGGAUGUUAGUUCUUGUUUCUCACUUUGCUAUAAAUAUUACUGUGCCUCAAAAUAUUUGAAGUAAUUCUCAUCUUCAUUUUUGCUGUAUGUAAAUAUUCUUGAAAAUGACUCUUAUCUUCCUAUAUUUUUUUAAAUAUAGGAGAUUAGUCUCUGUCUAUAACACAGGGAAACAAGACUUUCUGAAAUAUCCCGGAUACAUAUAUAAAGGACAGAAAGGUUGUAUGUGAGACCUUGAAAAGAAUGUGAUUUUUUUAUGACAAUUUAUCAUUUAUCCUGGAUCAACAUUUUCUAGCACUCUUCUAGCUUUGCUAAAGCAAAUUGUGUUUUAUGUCCCCAGCAGAAUACUCGAUAACUGGUCUGGCGAUGAUGAGGCAUAAUAGGAGUUAUCUGGUCCCAGGAAAGUCAUUGGUUUGCGUUCACUGCCAGAGUCUGGUUAUCAUUGCAGGGCAGGAUUAUCUCAUUGUUUUCUGCUGCCAUGAUUUUGUUUUGACUUCUCAAAUCUCCACAGAACACUCAUUUAGAAAACCCUCCACAGUGGUUUGUUCUUACUGGGGAAACGAAGGCAGUGGGGAGGGAAGGACAGAAGGAUUUUCUUUCUUUUUCUGAGUCCGUCCUGGGCAGAGAGUAAGAUGCAGUUUUUUCUUAGCGUUGUCAGUGCAAGCCUAGCCCUUUCACUGCCCAGUUUAUUACUCCUAUGCAUCGCCUUAAGAUAUUGCUCCAAAGAUCAAUACCCUGAUUUCCUUUCCAUCUGCCUAGACUAAGAUAAUUAGGCUCUUUACUUCAUUUUGUAUGUAAUGAAGGCGGCAACUCGUGAUAGUAGAGGAAAAAAGCUAUCUCCCUAUGGUAAAUGUAUUGACAUUUACAGAUACCAGCGGAGCACAACAUGAGGAGAGUAAUGAGAAAUUUCACUGCUUUCCCCUCUUUCUCUGUUUCCUGUUUUAGAGCUGGCUAGAUCCCACAGCGAAUCACUAGCUGCAAAGAGAAGGGACGGCUUAGGGACCGACAAUUGAGAGCAUUUACAAUUAGCUGCAUUGAUUAACCUUUACAAAUGCUGUUACUUUAUGAGGUGUUUUUCUCAGCCCUGGUUGAACAGUAUGCGUUAUUGAUUCAACAUACUCCUUUACGAAAGCCCUGAUUUGUCCGUGACUCCACCAGUCAUAAUGCCUGCCUUGGUAGUCGUUUCUGCAUGUUCUCGGGAAAACUUGACACGGAAGACUGAUUGGCAUUAUGUAAAUGGGGUCCACAUCUUCCUUUAGGAAGGGUGUACAGCCGGCAGAAACCAGGGCGUAGACCUGCCUCCCUUCAUCCCCAUCGCCAGGCGCAGACACAAAGGAUGCCAGCCUCGCGCCAGCCGCUUACUGCUGCCCAAUUCACAGCAUCACUCCUAAUAAGCGGCCUGCAGGAGGAAAAGAGCCUCAGACACUCCUCCAUCUCCUCUGUAUUCCCUGGUUUUUAUUUAGGUUUCCUGAAAUAAUUUGGAGUGUGUGUGCAUGCGUGUGUGUAUGUGUGAAAGAGAGAGAGAGGGAGGGAGAGAGAGUUUGUGUAAGGGAAAGGGGUGGUGGGAAAUUGUCCAAAAAAUUGUUUUUAGCUUAAUUUUCUUCGAAGAUUGUAGACCGACUUUGAUUGCCACUUUGGCUGGUGAUUCCAAAAUCUAUGGUGGAAGGCAUUUUCCUUUCAUCAGUUUGAUUCAAAGAAGCUCAGUGCUUAGAAAUAAUAAAUAUCACCUAGAAAUGGCUGCCUUCCACCCCUCCUGCCCCAUAGAACUAUAUGAAUAUAAAUUGAAUACUAUUUUCUUUUUCUUCCUCUCUUGCUUCCCUCUCUCCCCAUUUCUUCCUUUGAGCCUUCCCUUAUUCUUCAUUUCAAGGUGUACAUUAGUAUCAUCUGAAAGAUAAAAGGACUAAAAGCUUGAAAUACUACAGAGUAAAUCCAUCAGCUGUUCCGUCAGGAUUCCUAAAAUGUAUUCUGCACCCAAGACCAGUUAUAUGAUAUGCAGGGUGCAGUGCAAAAUAAAGAUGCAGGGCCCCUUGUUCAUAAAUUAUUAAAAAUUUCUAAACAGUAACAGCAGAGUGUUAAACCCAGCUCUGUUCCUCUAAGAAUGAGGCUUGUGUGAUUGCACAGAUCACACACCCAGGAAGUAGGCCCUGCCAUCAUCUUUGCCAACAGUUAUUUCUGAAAAGAUAGUAGGAGACAGGGGCCUGGGUGGGGGGAGGGUAGUAUUUGUUUUCUUUCCCAACUCGAGUUUAAACUUCUCUAUUGUGAGACUCAUUUUUUCUGGAUCAUGCCAAAUUGCAUAUGCUCCUUUAUGACUUGAAAUGCCACUUAGUUGGGUUUGAACUGAGAGCACCGCCUUUAUGCCCAUCUUCUGCAUAGCAGAUUCCAGCGACUUGAAGCACUUUUUCCAUGCCAAAAUUCUGAGACUGGAGUAUUUGUCACUUUGCGCUUCCAGGAACGGCUGAAAAAAGUUUAUUUUGCUUUAUGUGAUUAAACUGAAUGUUUGGCUUGAUGCAAAUGCAUAUACAUGUGCAUUUAUUCUAAUAUACAUGUCCAAACACAUGGGAUUUUUUUUUCCCGUACAUAUAUGUGCAUAACAGAAUUGAGUUUAUGGUUUUCCAAGACACAGCUGAACAAUGAUGGAAGACAGCCAUUUUUUUUUUUUAAUGAAGAGUUGAUGCAUUUUUAAAGGAAAAAAAUCAGGAAGCUGCUCUAACAGACUCUGCAGCAUUCACAGCAUGACAAACAAAUUAGAAAACAGCAGAUGCAGCACAAAUUAAGAUGUAUUUAGCACAGCAGCCCAUCAGAUGUGUGAACGUCUUUUGUAACUCAGCUUUGCAAGGUUGAUGUAUUGCACUUUAGACAGCUGAUAAUGAACCCUCCUAGCAAUUAGAAGUGGAAAUACUGAGGAGUCAAAAUUGUGCUGUUCCCAGUGGGC
This 5409-nucleotide long non-coding RNA is filed under the name Sus scrofa (pig). RNAcentral describes it as "lncRNA (ENSSSCG00030070708.1)". Lineage: Eukaryota; Metazoa; Chordata; Mammalia; Artiodactyla; Suidae. The record is from RNAcentral.